UGGAGUGAUGAUGGCUGUGAACAGUAAAGU
Molecule: non-coding RNA, 30 nt
Filed under: Mus musculus (house mouse)
Lineage: Eukaryota; Metazoa; Chordata; Mammalia; Rodentia; Muridae
Source: RNAcentral